CGAAACGGCGCUAAUACCGCAUACGUCCUGAGGGAGAAAGUGGGGGAUCUUCGGACCUCACGCUAUCAGAUGAGCCUAGGUCGGAUUAGCUAGUUGGUGGGGUAAAGGCCUACCAAGGCGACGAUCCGUAACUGGUCUGAGAGGAUGAUCAGUCACACUGGAACUGAGACACGGUCCAGACUCCUACGGGAGGCAGCAGUG
RNAcentral lists this ribosomal RNA (201 nucleotides) under Pseudomonas aeruginosa. Its description in RNAcentral is "partial 16S ribosomal RNA". It matches the Rfam family "Bacterial small subunit ribosomal RNA", at positions 153 to 356 of the family's 1533-position model. The record is from RNAcentral. Lineage: Bacteria; Pseudomonadati; Pseudomonadota; Gammaproteobacteria; Pseudomonadales; Pseudomonadaceae.